This 1379-nucleotide ribosomal RNA is filed under the name uncultured bacterium. RNAcentral's name for it is "bacterial SSU rRNA". It matches the Rfam family "Bacterial small subunit ribosomal RNA". The record is from RNAcentral.
AGAGUUUGCUCCUGGCUCAGGAUGAACGCUGGCGGCGUGCUUAACACAUGCAAGUCGAACGAAGCACCUUGAUUUGAUUCUUCGGAUGAAGAUCUUGGUGACUGAGUGGCGGACGGGUGAGUAACGCGUGGGUAACCUGCCUCAUACAGGGGGAUAACAGUUAGAAAUGACUGCUAAUACCGCAUAAGACCACAGCACCGCAUGGUGCAGGGGUAAAAACUCCGGUGGUAUGAGAUGGACCCGCGUCUGAUUAGGUAGUUGGUGGGGUAACGGCCUACCAAGCCGACGAUCAGUAGCCGACCUGAGAGGGUGACCGGCCACAUUGGGACUGAGACACGGCCCAAACUCCUACGGGAGGCAGCAGUGGGGAAUAUUGCACAAUGGGGGAAACCCUGAUGCAGCGACGCCGCGUGAGCGAUGAAGUAUUUCGGUAUGUAAAGCUCUAUCAGCAGGGAAGAAAAUGACGGUACCUGACUAAGAAGCACCGGCUAAAUACGUGCCAGCAGCCGCGGUAAUACGUAUGGUGCAAGCGUUAUCCGGAUUUACUGGGUGUAAAGGGAGCGUAGACGGAGUGGCAAGUCUGAUGUGAAAACCCGGGGCUCAACCCCCGGGACUGCAUUGGAAACUGUCAAUCUAGAGUACCGGAGAGGUAAGCGGAAUUCCUAGUGUAGCGGUGAAAUGCGUAGAUAUUAGGAGGAACACCAGUGGCGAAGGCGGCUUACUGGACGGUAACUGACGUUGAGGCUCGAAAGCGUGGGGAGCAAACAGGAUUAGAUACCUGGUAGUCCACGCCGUANACGAUGACUACUAGGUGUCGGGCAGCAAAGCUGUUCGGUGCCGCAGCAAACGCAAUAAGUAGUCCACCUGGGGAGUACGUUCGCAAGAAUGAAACUCAAAGGAAUUGACGGGGACCCGCACAAGCGGUGGAGCAUGUGGUUUAAUUCGAAGCAACGCGAAGAACCUUACCUGCUCUUGACAUCUCCCUGACCGGCAAGUAAUGUUGCCUUUCCUUCGGGACAGGGAUGACAGGUGGUGCAUGGUUGUCGUCAGCUCGUGUCGUGAGAUGUUGGGUUAAGUCCCGCAACGAGCGCAACCCCUAUCUUUAGUAGCCAGCGGUUUGGCCGGGCACUCUAGAGAGACUGCCAGGGAUAACCUGGAGGAAGGUGGGGAUGACGUCAAAUCAUCAUGCCCCUUAUGAGCAGGGCUACACACGUGCUACAAUGGCGUAAACAAAGGGAGGCAGAACCGCGAGGUCGAGCAAAUCCAAAAAUAACGUCUCAGUUCGGAUUGUAGUCUGCAACUCGACUACAUGAAGCUGGAAUCGCUAGUAAUCGCGAAUCAGAAUGUCGCGGUGAAUACGUUCCCGGGUCUUGUACACA